Molecule: long non-coding RNA, 1978 nt
Filed under: Mus musculus (house mouse)
Lineage: Eukaryota; Metazoa; Chordata; Mammalia; Rodentia; Muridae
Description: long non-coding RNA chr5:26829790-26831768
Source: RNAcentral
UUUUUUUUUUUUUUGCUGGUAAGCAUCGUAGCAAGCGUGUAAUGUUGUCUUGGAAUAGUUGAGAUGUGUAUUUCACCAGUUACUAAUUGUGUUGAACAUUUUUCUGCUUGCUGUCUAUCCUCACAUCUUUGCUGAGGAGUACAUGGAAAUCUCUGACAUAUCCCUAUAGUGACAAUUUUAGACUUUGGUUUCUUUUAAAAAACACAGAAAUAUUACAAGAAUGUGUCCAGAAAUAUUACAAGAAUAUGUUUUUAUUUCAAUCCCAGGUAUGGAAUAUGGGACUGCUUCAGAUUGUCCACAGAAGCUGACUAUGAUUUGCCUCAUGUACUAGCAGGGGUGUGAUUUUGCCAGUGCCUGGUAGUUUCUGCUAUUGUGUUACAUUGGAUACUCUGGGGACUUUUCAGAGGGUAUAAAAGAGUCGCUAAGAGUCAUGGUGGGUUGGUUGGUUGUUGUUGGUCACAGUGUGUUAAUUGGUGUGGCAAAAGAAGAAACAGCAAGAAGAAAUUAAAUUUCCUGACAUGUGCUAUUAUUUCCUUAUAUUAAGGGCAAAGCUACUCCCAUACAAAGAGCAGAAUGGUUUGGAAGUACUGGGAAAUGUGUGUUCUGGAAAAGUGUUGUUAACAAUCAGAGGCCAAAAUUAAAUUUCCCAGUAAAUAAGAUUGAAGUAGAAGGGUUAAUGGAUACAGGAGCUGAUAUAACUAUCAUUUCACAAAAAUCUUAGAACUUGGAAUGGCUAUUUUUAAAGGUUUAUACUUAGUUUCUAGGAAUUGAAAAGUUGUCUCAGAUAAAACAAAGUAUGUGAUGGGUUAAAUAUGCGGAACCAAAAUGCCAAACAGAAAAGUUAAGGCCUUAUGUGGAUGACAUACCAUAAAUUUAUGGGGAAGGGAUCUUUUACAACAGUGGAGUACUCAGAUUAAUAUUCCUGCAAGACAGCCCAUAAAGAAAUUAGGGGUGAAAUGGUGGGUGCACUUAGGGGUAUGUAUUGAUAUAUGUCAUCAAAAACAAUCCCAGGCUGUGCCAAUUGUCCAAACACAGGACAUUAUAGGUAUUGAGUUUUCAAAUUUUAAGUGGGGGGCAUUGAUGAAGUAUCAAAGGCCCUACCCUUAAAGUGGUUGACAGACAAGCCUGUGUGGUAGAGUAAUGGCCCUUAACUAAGGCAAAAUUACAGGCACUUGAACAGCUAGUACAAGAACAGCUGGAGACUCAAAAUAUAGGAGAGUCUAUACGCCUAUCAAACCUCCCUUCAUUUGUUAUAAAAACCAGAGAGAUGGAGGGUGUUAACAGAUUUAAAAGUGUGAAUAAAGUAAUUCAACCAAUGUAUCCCUUAUAGCCUGGAAUUCCUUUACUUUCUGUAUUACUUAAGACAUGUCCUAUGAUAAUAAUUUAUUUAAAAGAUUGUGUUUUUUUACUAUACCAUUGCAAGAGCAGGGUAGGGAAAGGUUUGCUUUCAUCAUACUUAUUUAUAAUAAUGUUCAACCUGUAAAAUGAUAUCAAUGGAAAGUUCUUCCACAAAAAAAGUUAAACAGUCCAACUCUAUGCCAAUAUUUUGUGCAACAACCACUAGAAAUAAUUCAUACACAAUUUUCUCAAUACAGUAUUUAUCAUUUCAUGGAUGAUAUUUUGUUGGCUGAUUCUGAUGCAGCUACUGUAGAGAAAAUGUUUAAAGAAAUAUAAUGAAGUCUGUCAGGCUAUUGGUUACAGAUUGCUUCCAAAAAAACUAAAGAGAGGAGAAUAAAUCUAUUAACUAUUUGGGUUAUAAAACAACUCAACAAAAAAUUCAACUAUAAAAGGUACAGAUCAGAAGAGAUCAGUUCCAAGCUCUUAAUGAUUGUCAAAGAUUAUUGGGAGAUAUUAAUUGGCUGUGAUCUACACUGGAUUAACUACUCAAGAGUUUAGUCAUUUGUUUCAAAUGUUACUAGGAGAUUCAGACUUAAACAGUCCAAGAUUGUUAACAGCUGAAGCAGAGAGAAAGAGAAAG